Molecule: ribosomal RNA, 2918 nt
Filed under: Bacillus sp. SJ-10
Lineage: Bacteria; Bacillati; Bacillota; Bacilli; Caryophanales; Bacillaceae
Description: bacterial LSU rRNA
Rfam family: Bacterial large subunit ribosomal RNA
Source: RNAcentral
GAAAGGGCGCACGGUGGAUGCCUUGGCACUAGGAGCCGAUGAAGGACGGGACGAACACCGAUAUGCUUCGGGGAGCUGUAAGCAAGCUUUGAUCCGGAGAUUUCCGAAUGGGGAAACCCACCACUCGUAAUGGAGUGGUAUCCAUAUCUGAAUACAUAGGAUAUGAGAAGGCAGACCCGGGGAACUGAAACAUCUAAGUACCCGGAGGAAGAGAAAGCAAAUGCGAUUCCCUGAGUAGCGGCGAGCGAAACGGGAUCAGCCCAAACCAAGAGGCUUGCCUCUUGGGGUUGUAGGACACUCUGUACGGAGUUACAAAGGAACGAGGUAGAUGAAGAGGUCUGGAAAGGCCCGCCAUAGGAGGUAACAGCCCUGUAGUCAAAACUUCGUUCUCUCCUGAGUGGAUCCUGAGUACGGCGGAACACGUGAAAUUCCGUCGGAAUCCGGGAGGACCAUCUCCCAAGGCUAAAUACUCCCUAGUGACCGAUAGUGAACCAGUACCGUGAGGGAAAGGUGAAAAGCACCCCGGAAGGGGAGUGAAAGAGAUCCUGAAACCGUGUGCCUACAAGUAGUCAGAGCCCGUUAACGGGUGAUGGCGUGCCUUUUGUAGAAUGAACCGGCGAGUUACGAUCCCGUGCAAGGUUAAGCAGAAGAUGCGGAGCCGCAGCGAAAGCGAGUCUGAAUAGGGCGAAUUGAGUACGUGGUCGUAGACCCGAAACCAGGUGAUCUACCCAUGUCCAGGGUGAAGUUCAGGUAACACUGAAUGGAGGCCCGAACCCACGCACGUUGAAAAGUGCGGGGAUGAGGUGUGGGUAGGGGUGAAAUGCCAAUCGAACCUGGAGAUAGCUGGUUCUCUCCGAAAUAGCUUUAGGGCUAGCCUCAAGGUAAGAGUCUCGGAGGUAGAGCACUGAUUGGACUAGGGGCCCCUACCGGGUUACCGAAUUCAGUCAAACUCCGAAUGCCGAUGACUUAUCCUUGGGAGUCAGACUGCGAGUGAUAAGAUCCGUAGUCGAAAGGGAAACAGCCCAGACCGCCAGCUAAGGUCCCAAAGUAUACGUUAAGUGGAAAAGGAUGUGGAGUUGCUUAGACAACCAGGAUGUUGGCUUAGAAGCAGCCACCAUUUAAAGAGUGCGUAAUAGCUCACUGGUCGAGUGACUCUGCGCCGAAAAUGUACCGGGGCUAAACGUAUCACCGAAGCUGCGGACUGUUCUUCGAACAGUGGUAGGAGAGCGUUCUAAGGGCUGUGAAGCAAGACCGGAAGGACUUGUGGAGCGCUUAGAAGUGAGAAUGCCGGUAUGAGUAGCGAAAGAGGGGUGAGAAUCCCCUCCACCGAAUGCCUAAGGUUUCCUGAGGAAGGCUCGUCCGCUCAGGGUUAGUCGGGACCUAAGCCGAGGCCGAAAGGCGUAGGCGAUGGAUAACAGGUUGAUAUUCCUGUACCACCUCCUCACCAUUUGAGCAAUGGGGGGACGCAGGAGGAUAGGGUAAGCGCGGUAUUGGAUAUCCGCGUCCAAGCAGUUAGGCUGGGAAAUAGGCAAAUCCGUUUCCCGUGAAGGCUGAGCUGUGAUGGCGAGCGAAUUAUAGUAGCGAAGUUCCUGAUUCCACACUGCCAAGAAAAGCCUCUAGCGAGGUGAGAGGUGCCCGUACCGCAAACCGACACAGGUAGGCGAGGAGAGAAUCCUAAGGUGAUCGAGAGAACUCUCGUUAAGGAACUCGGCAAAAUGACCCCGUAACUUCGGGAGAAGGGGUGCUCUGUUAGGGUGCAAGCCCGAGAGAGCCGCAGUGAAUAGGCCCAGGCGACUGUUUAGCAAAAACACAGGUCUCUGCGAAGCCGUAAGGCGAAGUAUAGGGGCUGACGCCUGCCCGGUGCUGGAAGGUUAAGAGGAGCGCUUAGCGUAAGCGAAGGUGCGAAUUGAAGCCCCAGUAAACGGCGGCCGUAACUAUAACGGUCCUAAGGUAGCGAAAUUCCUUGUCGGGUAAGUUCCGACCCGCACGAAAGGCGCAACGAUCUGGGCACUGUCUCAACGAGAGACUCGGUGAAAUUAUAGUACCUGUGAAGAUGCAGGUUACCCGCGACAGGACGGAAAGACCCCGUGGAGCUUUACUGCAGCCUGAUAUUGAAUGUUGGUACAGCUUGUACAGGAUAGGUAGGAGCCUUGGAAACCGGAGCGCCAGCUUCGGUGGAGGCAUCGGUGGGAUACUACCCUGGCUGUAUUGACCUUCUAACCCGCCGCCCUUAUCGGGCGGGGAGACAGUGUCAGGUGGGCAGUUUGACUGGGGCGGUCGCCUCCUAAAAGGUAACGGAGGCGCCCAAAGGUUCCCUCAGAAUGGUUGGAAAUCAUUCGCAGAGUGUAAAGGCACAAGGGAGCUUGACUGCGAGACCUACAAGUCGAGCAGGGACGAAAGUCGGGCUUAGUGAUCCGGUGGUUCCGCAUGGAAGGGCCAUCGCUCAACGGAUAAAAGCUACCCCGGGGAUAACAGGCUUAUCUCCCCCAAGAGUCCACAUCGACGGGGAGGUUUGGCACCUCGAUGUCGGCUCAUCGCAUCCUGGGGCUGUAGUCGGUCCCAAGGGUUGGGCUGUUCGCCCAUUAAAGCGGUACGCGAGCUGGGUUCAGAACGUCGUGAGACAGUUCGGUCCCUAUCCGUCGUGGGCGCAGGAAAUUUGAGAGGAGCUGUCCUUAGUACGAGAGGACCGGGAUGGACGCACCGCUGGUGUACCAGUUGUUCUGCCAAGGGCAUCGCUGGGUAGCUAUGUGCGGACGGGAUAAGUGCUGAAAGCAUCUAAGCAUGAAGCCCCCCUCAAGAUGAGAUUUCCCAUUCCGCAAGGAAGUAAGAUCCCUGAAAGAUGAUCAGGUUGAUAGGUCUGAGGUGGAAGUGUGGCGACACAUGGAGCUGACAGAUACUAAUCGAUCGAGGACUUAACC